This 572-nucleotide ribosomal RNA is filed under the name Saccharomyces cerevisiae (brewer's yeast). RNAcentral's name for it is "partial large subunit ribosomal RNA". It matches the Rfam family "Eukaryotic large subunit ribosomal RNA", at positions 62 to 648 of the family's 3401-position model. Lineage: Eukaryota; Fungi; Ascomycota; Saccharomycetes; Saccharomycetales; Saccharomycetaceae. The record is from RNAcentral.
AAACCAACCGGGAUUGCCUUAGUAACGGCGAGUGAAGCGGCAAAAGCUCAAAUUUGAAAUCUGGUACCUUCGGUGCCCGAGUUGUAAUUUGGAGAGGGCAACUUUGGGGCCGUUCCUUGUCUAUGUUCCUUGGAACAGGACGUCAUAGAGGGUGAGAAUCCCGUGUGGCGAGGAGUGCGGUUCUUUGUAAAGUGCCUUCGAAGAGUCGAGUUGUUUGGGAAUGCAGCUCUAAGUGGGUGGUAAAUUCCAUCUAAAGCUAAAUAUUGGCGAGAGACCGAUAGCGAACAAGUACAGUGAUGGAAAGAUGAAAAGAACUUUGAAAAGAGAGUGAAAAAGUACGUGAAAUUGUUGAAAGGGAAGGGCAUUUGAUCAGACAUGGUGUUUUGUGCCCUCUGCUCCUUGUGGGUAGGGGAGUCUCGCAUUUCACUGGGCCAGCAUCAGUUUUGGUGGCAGGAUAAAUCCAUAGGAAUGUAGCUUGCCUCGGUAAGUAUUAUAGCCUGUGGGAAUACUGCCAGCUGGGACUGAGGACUGCGACGUAAGUCAAGGAUGCUGGCAUAAUGGUUAUAUGCCGC